UGGAGACUCUAAAUUGCCCGUGAAUGUGAGUGCGAAUGUUUGUAUGUGCCCUGUGAUUGGCUGGCAACCAGUUCAGGGUGUACCCCGCCUCCUGCCCGAUGACAGCUGGGAUAGGCUCCAGCACGCCCCCGACCCCUAGUGAGGAGAAGCGGCUCAGAAAAUGGAUGGAUAUAUAUUUGUUUUUUACCUUUCCGGAAGUCCUUCCUCCCGCGACUGUGAUUGGCAGGUGGCGACGCACGUGUCUUGAUUUGUGCCGCACUGCACUAUGACUAACUGUAGAAAAUCCAAAAUAUAAAAGCCGAAAUUUAAAAGUUGAUAAAUUGGCAUUAAAACGAAACUACGAAAACAAAAGGGAAGACAGAGAAGGAGACACAGAAGGCUUGGAAAGCGUUGCCCCCCAUCCUUAUCAUCCCGGUGAGGUUGGAGAGGAUUGGCCCAGAGUGCUUCCUGUGUCACAUCUCCAGUGGAGGUACCCAUCCGCCCUUUGAAGUCAGACACAAACACUGGAAACACUUUCAUCGGCCUGAUGUGUCAUCACAGUCCGGUCCCAUGUAUAUCCUGAGUCAUCACCAGAUGUUUCGACAGGAUGACUUCCAGUCCUCAGGAAGAACUCUGCACUUUUGAAAGAGAACCCAACAAGCCUCUAUUAAACGAGACAAAGAAAAGCAGUCAACAAACAUUUGCUGCCAUGAUUAGUAGCGCAUCAGGGCUUGUAAAACGUUCAAUGCCUAGUGUCUCUGGAGGGCAGACCAAAGUGUUUCUCGGGUCUCUAAUUGGGGCGACACAACCCAAAUGAGAGGAGUGUUUGAGGUCAACAACAGAGGAGGAAGUAGCUCAGGCAGCAGACCUUCAGAUAAAAGCUUACAGGUGCGAGCGAGCGCGCUCGUACAUAUGCAUGCAAGCUGUGGCGCUUGUUUGUUCUGGUGUCUGUUUGUAUGCGGAAAAUGCAGCUCCCAAAGCAUAAUGUGUUUGCUCAGUCCGAGCAUGCUGUGUACUCUGGACAACAUUCCCCGGCCCGCCUCGCUCACUGCGAGCUUUGUUUGCGCACGCUAAAGGAGGCUCGGCGCCCUUCCCUUCUCGCUCGCAAAUUAGUAAUUCACCUUUUGAGGAAGAACAUCUCGCCGUGUGUUUAUGUGCGAGACAGAGUGUGUGCACGUGUGAGAGUGACUGAGAGAGAGCAAGAGUGUGUGAGUGAGUGAGUGAAUGCGUGUGCGUGCGUUCUUGCAUGUGCCCCAGUGUGCUCCGCAUCAGAGAGCGACUCCCAGCAUGCAGUGUUGUUGUAGGUGAGGGUGAGGAGCUUCCCUGAUGGGCUGCUGUGGCAGAAAGGCCAGCUUUGAUCGAAGGCCCAAGAAGAAGAAGAAGAAGAGGAGGAGGGGGAGGAGAAGAGGAAGAUGAUUGGGACGGGGAGGUCACCCAGGAGAACAACGAGGUGAAGUGCCGCUACAAAAUGAGUCAACAGCAAUCCUCUUUUAGCGCGACAACCACUGAAAGUCUCCCAAUUUUUUACCCUCCGCAGCAAAUUUCCUUUUUCCUUAAUCUACCCGUGCACUGCAUUGGAUUCUUCCUAGAUAACUGAAUAAUGCAUUUAUUCAUUAGGCUCGGGACAGCAUAUCGACCGUUCACACGUUGAGUCGCGUGCUGAAUCUGUCGGAAGUGUCUCAAAAGACAAACUGGCCACCUGUGCACACAUGCACACAAUGCAUUCGCUCUCGAUGCGUGUCGAUUAGGUUACAAUUGGAGGCCGAUGCAUUUAAAAGAUGUUUUAGCGUCUAUCUGAUGUUUACACUGCAUUGCUAAUUGUCAAGUGUUUACACUUAUUUCGCUUUAAUGCAUUUGUCCGAAAUCCACGGCACAAAAAGGAAGAGAAACCAAAAGACUAUUGAAGUACUCUGGGAAAGCUUUUUUUCUGUCAGCCAGCCCAAGUGUCCCCCUUAAAGCUGCCUUUAUUUUGUUAACAUGCUCAAACUGAGAGUUCAGGUUGUCACCAUAAAUUCAUACCAGUGGGCCACUUCCGUCUUGCAUGCAGCUCACUGUUUGUAUUUAUUUUUAUGUGCUUGCAAUUUGAAAAAGUACUACUACUUUUAGGGCCAAUAAUCGCCCAUGGUUUUUAGAUCGUUGAUAAAGCCCAUAUGUAUGCAUGAGUCUAUGUGAAUCAUUUAUUAUUGCCAGUUGAUCAAGCGAGAUGUGUUCAUAUAACAUCAAACAGUAAUUAUCUAAUGAAUGGUGUUUGAACCGUUUAAACAAGGUCCACAUUUGCACAGGAUAAUUAUUUUCUUAACUGCUUUAUUUAAUUGCAUUUGUGUACGGUGGCAUCUUGACUGGUGAGUUUUAUUAAUUCCAUAACUCAAUUGCAUAUAAGGUCGUACUGCCGUUAGCCCACCCCCAACUUUUUGGUUACAUUUUGGUAAAGAAAAAUAGCAAUGUAUUUUAAAGUGUAAAUAUAAAAAAACAUCUAAAAUAGAUGUCAAGAAAUAAACUGGUUUUAUAGUGUAUUGAAGCUGAAAGUCAUGUAUACUGUAAGAUGAAUAAACAGUGUAGACGUUUAAUAUUUCAAA
Molecule: long non-coding RNA, 2555 nt
Organism: Phyllopteryx taeniolatus (common seadragon)
Lineage: Eukaryota; Metazoa; Chordata; Actinopteri; Syngnathiformes; Syngnathidae
Exons: 3
Source: RefSeq, a predicted model, not a curated record